GAUGAACGCUGGCGGCGUGCCUAAUACAUGCAAGUCGAGCGAACGGACGAGAAGCUUGCUUCUCUGAUGUUAGCGGCGGACGGGUGAGUAACACGUGGAUAACCUACCUAUAAGACUGGGAUAACUUCGUGAAACCGGAGCUAAUACCGGAUAAUAUUUUGAACCGCAUGGUUCAAAAGUGAAAGACGGUCUUGCUGUCACUUAUAGAUGGAUCCGCGCUGCAUUAGCUAGUUGGUAAGGUAACGGCUUACCAAGGCAACGAUGCAUAGCCGACCUGAGAGGGUGAUCGGCCACACUGGAACUGAGACACGGUCCAGACUCCUACGGGAGGCAGCAGUAGGGAAUCUUCCGCAAUGGGCGAAGGCCUGACGGAGCAACGCCGCGUGAGUGAUGAAGGUCUUCGGAUCGUAAAACUCUGUUAUUAGGGAAGAACAUAUGUGUAAGUAACUGUGCACAUCUUGACGGUACCUAAUCAGAAAGCCACGGCUAACUACGUG
This 497-nucleotide ribosomal RNA is filed under the name uncultured bacterium. Its description in RNAcentral is "partial 16S ribosomal RNA". It matches the Rfam family "Bacterial small subunit ribosomal RNA", at positions 28 to 507 of the family's 1533-position model. The record is from RNAcentral.